AGUGAACGCUGGCGGUAGGCCUAACACAUGCAAGUCGAACGGCAGCACAGUAAGAGCUUGCUCUUACGGGUGGCGAGUGGCGGACGGGUGAGGAAUACAUCGGAAUCUACUUUUUCGUGGGGGAUAACGUAGGGAAACUUACGCUAAUACCGCAUACGACCUACGGGUGAAAGCAGGGGAUCUUCGGACCUUGCGCGAUUGAAUGAGCCGAUGUCGGAUUAGCUAGUUGGCGGGGUAAAGGCCCACCAAGGCGACGAUCCGUAGCUGGUCUGAGAGGAUGAUCGGCCACACUAGAACUGAGACACGGUCCAGACUCCUACGGGAGGCAGCAGUGUGGAAUAUUAGACAAUGGGCGCAAACCUGAUCCAGCCAUACCGCGUGGGUGAAGAAGGCCUUCGGGUUGUAAAGCCCUUUUGUUGGGAAAGAAAAGCAGCAGGUUAAUACCCCGCUGUUCUGACGGUACCCAAAGAAUAAGCACCGGCUAACUUCGUG
This 492-nucleotide ribosomal RNA is filed under the name uncultured bacterium. RNAcentral describes it as "partial 16S ribosomal RNA". It matches the Rfam family "Bacterial small subunit ribosomal RNA", at positions 29 to 507 of the family's 1533-position model. The record is from RNAcentral.